Molecule: ribosomal RNA, 273 nt
Filed under: uncultured bacterium
Lineage: Bacteria
Description: partial 16S ribosomal RNA
Rfam family: Bacterial small subunit ribosomal RNA
Source: RNAcentral
UACAGAGACUGCAAGCGUUAUUCGGAUUCACUGGGCGUAAAGGGUGCGCAGGCGGCCAAGUGUGUGAGGCGUGAAAGCCCGGGGCUUAACCCCGGAAUUGCACCUCAAACUACAUGGCUAGAGCAUUGGAGAGGGUAGCAGAAUUCAUGGUGUAGCAGUGAAAUGCGUAGAUAUCAUGAGGAAUACCAGAGGCGAAGGCGGCUACCUGGACAAUUGCUGACGCUCAGGCACGAAAGCGUGGGGAGCAAAAGGGAUUAGAAACCCCCGUAGUCC